UCUUCAUUCUUCACACUAUCUCACCGGUUAGAGAAGUGAGAGAGUGUGCGAAAUGAAGAGA
Non-coding RNA from Pristionchus pacificus, 61 nucleotides. The record is from Rfam. Lineage: Eukaryota; Metazoa; Nematoda; Chromadorea; Rhabditida; Neodiplogasteridae.